CGACAUUAGACUAAAUAUCAGCUGGUAAUUCUGGGGUCGUUCACCCCCAGGUUAUCAGUUGGUAUAAAGUUGUGUGUCG
Molecule: microRNA precursor, 79 nt
Filed under: Heliconius melpomene (postman butterfly)
Lineage: Eukaryota; Metazoa; Arthropoda; Insecta; Lepidoptera; Nymphalidae
Description: microRNA hme-mir-283 precursor
Gene: hme-mir-283
Source: miRBase by way of RNAcentral